This is a long non-coding RNA of Lolium rigidum, 700 nucleotides long. RefSeq lists it as uncharacterized. The record is from RefSeq and is a predicted model, not a curated record. The transcript is spliced from 6 exons. NCBI's taxonomy places the organism in Eukaryota, Viridiplantae, Streptophyta, Magnoliopsida, Poales, Poaceae.
GACCGUAAUGGUGUGGUGGUGUUUUCUUUGCAGCCAGUUGGAUAUCGUCGGGAACAGGAAGGCCGUGGAACCACGUGCCCUGCCGCCUACACAAGGCCUUCAGGAAGAUCCAUGCUAGGCUCGUGAGGGAGCUCGAGAAGAAGUUCAGCGGCAAGUAGUAUACAUAUGUAACACCUCUAUCGUUUAUUGAGGAGGUUCUUAGACCACUAAAUAUGUCAGCAUCAAAUGGGAAGUGGAUCGAUGGGCUCCAGUUCUCAUCUCUGUUCUGCCCUGGCACAUGAUGUGCAGCAGAAACAGGCACAAACUUUGGUCUAUGUUGAGUGCUUUGGUCAGCUUACAUGUGAGAGCGAGCAAUUUCCGAAGGAUGUAGCUCAGCUCAUUUAGAGUUGAUAUCCAUCAAAUGAAAAACGUUUGGUAGCUGAAGUAUCAAGUAAAAUAUGACUUCUGCAUGACCAUGCUGUUGUACUCCAAUUCAUUCACGCAUCAUAGAUGGGAUACACUGAGUUCUGAAGUACUCACAGAAGUAAGCCUUGCCCUGUUGAGAAAUUGUUAAGAGUUUUACCUCACCACAAUAGGCCAAUCUUCAAAGUUGCAGAAUUGAGCCCCUCACAAAUGUAUUUUUUCCUUCACAUCUUCCAGCAGAAAGUAAGAAAUAUGUAGUUAUUUUGUAUGUCUAUAUUUUAACGUGGUUAGAGAUUAA